CAAUAGCGUAUAUUAAAGUUGUUGCAGUUAAAAAGCUCGUAGUUGGAUUUCUGCUGAGGACGAUCGGUCCGCCCACUGGGUGAGUAUCUGGCUCGGCCUUGGCAUCUUCUUGGAGAACGUUGCUGCACUUGACUGUGUGGCGCGGUAUCCAGGACUUUUACUUUGAGGAAAUUAGAGUGUUUCAAGCAGGCGCACGCCUUGAAUACAUUAGCAUGGAAUAAUGAGAUAGGACCUUGGUUCUAUUUUGUUGGUUUCUAGAGCUGAGGUAAUGAUUAAUAGGGAUAGUUGGGGGCAUUCGUAUUUAACUAUCAGAGGUGAAAUUCUUGGAUUUGUUAAAGACGGACUACUGCGAAAGCAUUUGCCAAGGAUGUUUUCAUUGA
Molecule: ribosomal RNA, 380 nt
Filed under: uncultured eukaryote
Lineage: Eukaryota
Description: partial 18S ribosomal RNA
Rfam family: Eukaryotic small subunit ribosomal RNA
Source: RNAcentral